RNAcentral lists this long non-coding RNA (279 nucleotides) under Setaria viridis. Its description in RNAcentral is "long non-coding RNA (SVIR_LNC000497)". The record is from RNAcentral. Lineage: Eukaryota; Viridiplantae; Streptophyta; Magnoliopsida; Poales; Poaceae.
CCCUAUCUGGUCCGGUCUAGACUAGAGAUUAUCUUGGUUUGCACCCAGUUCAACGGAAUAGCUAUGGUAGCCGGUAGGUGGUGACAGUCCUGUCCGGUCUAUGUAGUCCAUCAUGUUAGUUCUGGACUGUAGGACUUAGGGGUAGACACGAUCAUCGCCCUUUUCAUCCCUUUUCGGGAUGGUGUGUCUCGAGCGCCCGAAGUGAACUCUCGUGAGUAAGUCUGAUUAGUUUGAUUCAUCAAAAUAGCUAGUUUUACUCGACAAGUACCCUCUCUACCC